CCAGACUCCUACGGGAGGCAGCAGUGAGGGAUAUUGGGCAAUGGGGGAAACCCUGACCCAGCGACGCCGCGUGAGGGAAGACGGUCUUCGGAUUGUAAACCUCUGUCUUUGGGGACGAAAAAGGACGGUACCCAAGGAGGAAGCUCCGGCUAACUACGUGCCAGCAGCCGCGGUAAUACGUAGGGAGCGAGCGUUGUCCGGAUUUAUUGGGUUUAAAGGGUGCGUAGGCGGAAUGCCAAGUCAGCGGUAAAAUCGCGGGGCUCAACCUCGCUCCGCCGUUGAAACUGGCGUUCUUGAGUGGGCGAGAAGUAUGCGGAAUGCGUGGUGUAGCGGUGAAAUGCAUAGAUAUCACGCAGAACUCCGAUUGCGAAGGCAGCAUACCGGCGCCCAACUGACGCUGAAGCACGAAAGCGUGGGUAUCGAACAGGAUUAGAUACCCUAGUAC
This 445-nucleotide ribosomal RNA is filed under the name uncultured bacterium. RNAcentral describes it as "bacterial SSU rRNA". It matches the Rfam family "Bacterial small subunit ribosomal RNA", at positions 331 to 793 of the family's 1533-position model. The record is from RNAcentral.